This is a long non-coding RNA of Canis lupus familiaris (dog), 1243 nucleotides long. RefSeq lists it as uncharacterized. The transcript is spliced from 3 exons. The record is from RefSeq and is a predicted model, not a curated record. NCBI's taxonomy places the organism in Eukaryota, Metazoa, Chordata, Mammalia, Carnivora, Canidae.
UCGCGCUGCCACCAAGAUGGCGGCGCCCAUGGCCCCCUGCUUCGCCUUGGCAGGGUGGCGGGUUGACACCCCAGGCUCAUCAGAAGUCUGGCCCACGGGGCUGCGUGAUGCCGCUCGGGGGCUCACGGUUGCUGGCGGCGCAGAAUAUUCAAAAGCUCAAGGGGUUCUUACCUGAGAAGGGAAGGAAGAGCUCUUGCCCCAUGAACAGGGCAGUUUUUCCCAGACCAUCUGCUUCGGAGUCCACACCACGGCCACCUCAGGUAUAUGGAAGUUUGGCCCUAGAACUUAACCCUGUGGCCUGCUGGCAUCAGAACAAGGAAUGGGGCACACUCCACGCCUCCAGUAGCCCAAGAAAAGAACUUACAUUCAGGAUGCAAUCCAUGGAACCAGGAAAGAAUGACCUUGGUGACCGACUGAAAAAAUGAAAACCGAACAUAAGUAAAUGUUAGAGACCACUGAAAGCAACGACGGCUGAUUCCUUUCUUGGACCUCAGGAAAAGUGUACAGAAUACCAUUCAGAAUCCUCUGCUCAAGGAUCUACUAGAAGGAUAAUUAUUUAUUGACUGUAGUCCUCUUCCAGUAGUAGAUUACCCAAGCCUUCCUUGCACUUCCACACUUGCACAGUAGGUUCUGCUGGUGUUCUCAAUAUUGGAGAAGCCCUGAAGCAGGCAGAAAUAUGUGACACACUCUUAAGGCAAGACACUGUCUGAGCCAGAUUGAAAGGCAUGACUAAACUUCAAGGUAAAACAGAGGGGAUUUAGAGAGUUGCACAGUUCUGAUACAAGUUCAAGAGAACUAAUGGAGCAAAGUGUGUUUUGUGUUUAUUGACCAUUUGGACUCGUCUUUUAUAAAGUGAUACUUGAAGUUUCAUUGUUUUAUAUGAUAUCAGCUUUGUGUGUUUUACUUUUAAUUUGUAGAAAUGUUUUAUAUGAUGGAAUUACAAUUACUUUAUCACUCACAUGUGCUGUAAAUAUCAUCUCAUUUCACCUUGCCAUUUUUCUUUCUUACCCAUGGGUUUGCUGAACAGAAGAUCCGAUUUUAAUGUUGUCUAAUUUUUCAAGCUUUGUAUUUGUAAUUAUUUUUGUGCCUCAGUAAAGGAAUCUUUUCCUAUAAAAAGUUUGUGGAGGGAAGCCUGGGUAGCUCAGCGGUUUAGCGCCGCCUUCAGCCCAGGGUAUGACCCUGGAGACCUGGGAUGGAGUCCCACGUCGGGCUCCCUAUGUGGAGCCUGCUUCUCCCUCUGCCU